GAUGAACGCCGGCGGUGUGCCUAAUACAUGCAAGUCGUACGCACUGGCCCAACUGAUUGAUGGUGCUUGCACCUGAUUGACGAUGGAUCACCAGUGAGUGGCGGACGGGUGAGUAACACGUAGGUAACCUGCCCCGGAGCGGGGGAUAACAUUUGGAAACAGAUGCUAAUACCGCAUAACAACAAAAACCACAUGGCUUUUGUUUGAAAGAUGGCUUUGGCUAUCACUCUGGGAUGGACCUGCGGUGCAUUAGCUAGUUGGUAAGGUAACGGCUUACCAAGGCAAUGAUGCAUAGCCGAGUUGAGAGACUGAUAGGCCACAAUGGAACUGAGACACGGUCCAUACUCCUACGGGAGGCAGCAGUAGGGAAUCUUCCACAAUGGGCGCAAGCCUGAUGGAGCAACACCGCGUGAGUGAAGAAGGGUUUCGGCUCGUAAAGCUCUGUUGUUGGAGAAGAAUAUGCGUGAGAGUAACUGUUCACGCAGUGACGGUAUCCAACCAGAAAGUCACGGCUAACUAC
This 520-nucleotide ribosomal RNA is filed under the name uncultured bacterium. RNAcentral describes it as "bacterial SSU rRNA". It matches the Rfam family "Bacterial small subunit ribosomal RNA", at positions 28 to 504 of the family's 1533-position model. The record is from RNAcentral.